GUCUGGGUUUGCAUUCGCUCUUCACCUAUAAAUAGAUGGUGCACCCGAGUAUUCAAUUCAUUUCAAUCUCCUCUUUUUUACAUCCUUUCUCUUAUUGUCCUAAUAAUCCUCUUCCUUUCCUUGUUAAGACAAAGUUCUCUUAAAGACAAAAGAUCUGCUUUAGGACAAGGGCUUAGGAAGAGAAUUAGGCAAGAUAAGGAGAGAAACAAAAAGAAGAGAAGGAAAAAGCUAGGAGGC
RNAcentral lists this long non-coding RNA (237 nucleotides) under Elaeis guineensis (African oil palm). RNAcentral describes it as "long non-coding RNA (EGUI_LNC039218)". The record is from RNAcentral. Lineage: Eukaryota; Viridiplantae; Streptophyta; Magnoliopsida; Arecales; Arecaceae.